CCUGGCGACCAUAGCAAGCAGGAACCACCUGAAUCCAUCUCGAACUCAGAAGUGAAACUGCUUAGCGCCGAUGGUAGUGUGUCAGUAGGCAUGCGAGAGUAGGACAUUGUCAGGC
This 115-nucleotide ribosomal RNA is filed under the name Gammaproteobacteria bacterium. Lineage: Bacteria; Pseudomonadati; Pseudomonadota; Gammaproteobacteria. The record is from RNAcentral.